GGAGGGUGCAAGCGUUGUUCGGAAUCACUGGGCGUAAAGCGCGUGUAGGCGGCCUUCUCAGUCUGGUGUGAAAGCCCGGGGCUCACCCCCGGAAGUGCAUUGGAUACUGGAAGGCUGGAGUACCGGAGAGGAGGGUGGAAUUCCUGGUGUAGCGGUGAAAUGCGUAGAUAUCAGGAGGAACACCGGUGGCGAAGGCGGCCCUCUGGACGGAUACUGACGCUGAGACGCGACAGCGUGGGGAGCAAACAGGAUUAGAUACCCUGGUAGUCCACGCCGUAAACGAUGGGUACUAGGUGUUCGGGGUAUUGACCCCCUGAGUGCCGCAGCUAACGCAUUAAGUACCUCGCCUGGGGACUACGGCCGCAAGGCUA
This 371-nucleotide ribosomal RNA is filed under the name uncultured bacterium. RNAcentral's name for it is "bacterial SSU rRNA". It matches the Rfam family "Bacterial small subunit ribosomal RNA", at positions 527 to 896 of the family's 1533-position model. The record is from RNAcentral.